RNAcentral lists this ribosomal RNA (141 nucleotides) under uncultured bacterium. Its description in RNAcentral is "partial 16S ribosomal RNA". It matches the Rfam family "Bacterial small subunit ribosomal RNA", at positions 355 to 508 of the family's 1533-position model. The record is from RNAcentral.
UGGGGAAUUUUGGACAAUGGACGCAAGUCUGAUCCAGCCAUGCCGCGUGCGGGAAGAAGCCUUCGGGUUGUAAACCGCUUUUUGUCAGGGAAGAAGCGAAAGUGACGGUACCUGCAGAAAAAGCACCGGCUAACUACGUGC